GCGCCCGGGCUCCCCACCGCGCACGCGCGCCAGUGCCUCGGACGCGGCGAAGAGGGACCCGGAAGUGGCGGUGCCGAGGGGCUGCCGUUCCUCCUGGGUGAGAACCGCGGUGUCUGUUCCUCUGCCGCCCUCUCGUCCUCAUUCUUUCGUAGACUGGGAUGAAUACACCAGGGUACUCUGGACGUGGGGGGUUUUAUGAAAUUUGAGUCUUUCAGAUUAAAACUAAAAACCCGACUGCCGAAACCCGGGAUCGAACCAGGGACCUUUAGAUCUUCAGUCUAACGCUCUCCCAACUGAGCUAUUUCGGCGCCUUCCGCAGGGCUCUUGGGCUAAGCUAUUACUGAGCACUCCACGUCCAAUUGUCACACUUGCAUUUUCUAAUGAGCACUUGCAAAGUUCCGCGAUUUCUUUGUCCUGCUCCACGGUAACCGCCCUCCCGCCCGCCAUUCCCCAUCCCGGAUCCGACGCGCUCCACCUCCGCGCCCGCAGCCCGGGCGAUGGCUCCCGGGGACUGGAACUGGGGGUCCCAGGGAGCCGAUUCCCUGCUACACGUGCGUCACCGUGCGGGAAAGUUCCAGGGUCCCCCCGACGAGCGGUGUUGGCGCAAAACUAUUGUAUGGAGUGGACAGGGCCUCAGAGGCAAGAAUAGCGGUCCGCCCGCCUCCGGUGCGGAGUUUGCACCCUCCGGUGCACCUGGGUGCGGGAGCGCCCGCCUUAAUUAUCAUCUCUUUGAGUGGAGCCUGCUUGGCAAAAGCUAGCGCAGCUCACGAAGGGCGAGUACUCAAAUGUCAGUGCUACUUCUUAACCCAAGUCGCAAAUAUUCCUCAAGUACCCAUUAAGUGCCAAGCUAGGACAUUCUGCAACUCCCAACAUCCUAUUGUUAUGUUCUGUUUUUCAUCCUCUCCAAUUAAAUUGGAUUUAUCUCAAGGCAUAGGAUCUUUCACUUUACCGCCCUUUUAACCUGCUCAUUAGAGCUUUGCAUUAAAGUGGAAGCUUCUCAACCAAUUUGGAUGAAUGGAUGGAUGGAUUCAAAGGGGAAAGAAAAAGUAAAUUGGAAGCAUCUGCAGUCUCCGUUGUUACCACCAGUUCUCCUCCCCUUCUGGAAGAGUCUCUCUCUGAGUUCCUUGGUUGUGCCAUAUCCAAACACAAAGAGCCUGAGAUUUAGAAGUCAGUGGGUAAAGGCGGCAGAGACCCAAGAGAAUUUGGAGCUAGAGAAGUUCAGAGGUUUAGGGAGCUUUAGAGUGGAAGAAGUCUGGGGUAGUCGCCUUAAUAUCCUACAUUUAAAAGGAAGCAGAGAAAGAAGAGUUUUACAGGUUUUCUUACAUGUUCACAAUGUCCCCUUCACAUUCUGAAAAUACUGCAGGAAAGACUUGAAUUCUUUUCAAUGACUCUUUGGGUUCCCAGUUGGCGACUCUUUACUGUUAACUGCCUGCCUGGAUUGAAUCAUGCGUACCUGAACUUCCUAGAUUUUAUAAUUCAUGUCUUCAGGUUAACAUCUAAUCUAGGAAGUCUCUCCUGAAAAUACGUAUUUGGAUGAAUGUCAAUGGACGGGGUCAAUAAUAGACAUGAGAUCCAGGUCAUAGCGUUGCCCUUUCUUGAUCUGCUAGCCACACAAGCAAACCAGUAGCUGGAAAAUCAAACCCUAGGUUUAUUUUGGCGGACAUUAUUGGAAGUUUCAGUGCAUGGUUGGUGGACUCAUGGCUUUGGGAGUGGCAGUGCAUUAUGGUGGGAGCACAUGAAGAGGAAGCCCAUUUACCUCAUGACCAUGAUGAAGAGUUGCAGAGGCAAGAAGAGGUACCUGCCAGAGCAUCUGUGGAGACCAAGUAUCAUGCGCUAAGUGAAGCAAAAAUGUGGGCACAUGUGUCACAGUAAGAAUGGUCAGAUGAUAAAGAUGUUGGCAUUCAAAAUAAGGGUAAGAAUAUUGAAGAAGACGCCAAGUUGAAGAAAAAAAAAAACUUUCUGUAAGCUGCAGUUCUGUCUUCCCAAUUAGCCCAAGGAUUUUGGCCAGCUCCAACCUAAUUACCUAUGAGAACUAUGAAAACUAAUUAUGAGAACUAACUAUGUAGAUCUAAUAAAAGUAAAGAGAGUACAUUGUA
Ictidomys tridecemlineatus (thirteen-lined ground squirrel) is the source of this 2096-nucleotide long non-coding RNA. RefSeq lists it as uncharacterized. NCBI's taxonomy places the organism in Eukaryota, Metazoa, Chordata, Mammalia, Rodentia, Sciuridae. The record is from RefSeq and is a predicted model, not a curated record.